CCCUGUGGGAAGCAGGAGGGACCACCCUCCAAGGCUAAAUACUACCUAGUGACCGAUAGCGUAUAGUACCGUGAGGGAAAGGUGAAAAGAACCCCGGGAGGGGAGUGAAAUAGAACCUGAAACCCUGCACUUACAAGCUGUGGAAGCACAUUUCUUGUGUGACCGCGUACUUUUUGUAGAACGGGCCAACGAGUUACGUUAAGUAGCAAGGUUAAGCACUUAAGGUGCGGAGCCGUAGCGAAAGCGAGUUUUAACUGAGCGUUCAGUUACUUGACGUAGACCCGAAACCGGGCGACCUACCCAUGAGCAGGAUGAAGCGAAAGUAAAAUUUCGUGGAGGUCCGAACCCACGAGCGUUGAAAAGCUCGGGGAUGACUUGUGGGUAGCGGUGAAAUUCCAAUCGAGCCCGGAGAUAGCUGGUUCCUCCCCGAAAUAGUCGUUUAGGGCUAGCCUCAAGGUGAGAGAUACGGAGGUAGAGCACUGAAUGUCCUAGGGGGUAUUGCACCUACCGAAGACUAUCAAACUCCGAAUGCCGUCAUCUUAUACUUGGGAGUCAGACUGUGGGUGAUAAGAUUCAUAGUCGAAAGGGCAACAGCCCAGAUCGUCAGCUAAGGUCCCUAAAUGUAAGUUAAGUGGUAAAGGAUGUGGGAUUGCACAGACAACCAGGAUGUUGGCUUAGAAGCAGCCACUCAUUCAAAGAGUGCGUAAUAGCUCACUGGUCGAGUGAUCCUGCGCCGAAGAUUUCCGGGGCUAAAACUUACUACCGAAGCUACGGCAUCAGUAAUGAUGGGUAGGGGAGCUUCCCAUACGGGUUGAAGCAUGACCGUAAGGACAUGUGGACAGUAUGGGAGUGAGAAUGUUGGCAUGAGUAGCGAGAUGUGGGUGGGAAUCCCACAGGCCGUAAACCCAAGGUUUCCAGGGGAAGGUUCGUCCGCCCUGGGUUAGUCGGGACCUAAGCUGAGGCCGAAAGGCGUAGGUGAUGGACAACAGGUUGAUAUUCCUGUACUACCGAUAACCGUUUGAGAGAAGGGAUGACACAGUAGGAUAAGCUAAGCACACUGUUGGUUAUGUGUGCCCAAGCAUUGAGGCAGUCAAAGUAGGCAAAUCCGCUUUGAUAAUGCUGGGAUGUGAUGGGGAGCGAAAUUUAGUAGCGAAGUAGCUGAUUUCACACUGUCAAGAAAAGUCUCUAUCGAGGUUAAAGGUACCCGUACCGCAAACCGACACAGGUGGGUGAGGAGAGUAUCCUAAGGCCAGCGAGAGAACUGUUGUUAAGGAACUCGGCAAAAUGACCCCGUAACUUAGGGAUAAGGGGUGCCACCAUCAGGUGGCCGCAGAGAAUAGGCCCAAGCGACUGUUUACCAAAAACAUAGGUUUCUGCUAAGUCGCAAGACGAUGUAUAGGAGCUGACGCCUGCCCGGUGCUGGAAGGUUAAGGGGAUCUGUUAGAGCAAUCGAAGCAGUGAACUUAAGCCCCAGUAAACGGCGGCCGUAACUAUAACGGUCCUAAGGUAGCGAAAUUCCUUGUCGGGUAAGUUCCGACCCGCACGAAAGGCGUAACGAUUUGGGCACUGUCUCAACAACAGACUCGGUGAAAUUGUAAUUCCGGUGAAGAUGCCGGAUACCUGCGACAGGACGGAAAGACCCCAUGGAGCUUUACUGUAGCUUGACAUUGGGUCUUGGUACUACAUGUACAGGAUAGGUGGGAGGCUUUGAAACCAGGACGCCAGUUUUGGCGGAGCCAUCCUUGGGAUACCACCCUUGUAGUACUGGGACUCUAACCAUAGGCCAUGAAUCUGGUCUUGGGACACUGUCAGGUGGGCAGUUUGACUGGGGCGGUCGCCUCCCAAAAGGUAACGGAGGCGCUCAAAGGUUCUCUCAGUACGGUCGGAAAUCGUACGUAGAGUGUAAAGGCAAAAGAGAGCUUGAUUGCAAGACAUACAGGUCGAGCAAGGAUGAAAAUCGGACUUAGUGAUCCGGUGGUUCUGCGUGGAAGGGCCAUCGCUCAACGGAUAAAAGCUACCCUGGGGAUAACAGGCUUAUCUCCCCCAAGAGUCCACAUCGACGGGGAGGUUUGGCACCUCGAUGUCGGCUCAUCACAUCCUGGGGCUGUAGUAGGUCCCAAGGGUUGGGCUGUUCGCCCAUUAAAGUGGUACGCGAGCUGGGUUCAGAACGUCGUGAGACAGUUCGGUCCCUAUCCGUCGCAGGCGUAGGAAAUUUGAGAAGACCUGUCCUUAGUACGAGAGGACCGGGAUGGACGUACCUCUGGUGUACCAGUUGUCCUGCCAAGGGCAUGGCUGGGUAGCUAUGUACGGAAUGGAUAAGCGCUGAAAGCAUCUAAGCGCGAAGCCAACUUCAAGAUAAGAUUUCCCACCGCAAGGGUAAGACCCCAGAAAGACUAUCUGGUUGAUAGGUCGAAGGUGUAAGUGCAGCAAUGUAUUUAGCUUAUCGAUACUAAUAGGUCGAGGACUUGACCAA
Molecule: ribosomal RNA, 2473 nt
Filed under: Clostridioides difficile DA00196
Lineage: Bacteria; Bacillati; Bacillota; Clostridia; Peptostreptococcales; Peptostreptococcaceae
Description: bacterial LSU rRNA
Rfam family: Bacterial large subunit ribosomal RNA
Source: RNAcentral